Odocoileus virginianus texanus is the source of this 262-nucleotide non-coding RNA. NCBI's taxonomy places the organism in Eukaryota, Metazoa, Chordata, Mammalia, Artiodactyla, Cervidae. The record is from RefSeq and is a predicted model, not a curated record.
AUCUUCCCAACCCAGGGAUCAAACCCUGGUCUCCUGAAUUUUCAGACUUCUUUAAGAAGGAACUAAUCAAGACUGGGUUCAGCGUGUCCAGAGUGAUGCAUCUGAAAGGUCCUGUAUCCCCAAAAGAUGGAGUUACUUCAUAUGAAGAACAUGUUUCAAUCCAUUUGUCUCUUCACCUCUUAGGAACAAUGUGACAUGAAAUAGGCACUGAAUUAAUAAAUUAUUUUGAAUUGGAAUCAUAAAUAACACAGUGAGACUCAUG